UCCAACCAUCACUGAACCAACUACCACCAGUCCCAGAGGCCACAGACAUCAUCUCUCCCACCACAAUCAAACACCAUAGUAAGUAGAACAGCAGUUAUUGGGUUUGUG
Molecule: long non-coding RNA, 108 nt
Organism: Telopea speciosissima
Lineage: Eukaryota; Viridiplantae; Streptophyta; Magnoliopsida; Proteales; Proteaceae
Exons: 3
Source: RefSeq, a predicted model, not a curated record